GUUUGGCACAACAGUACGCAUAAGAAGGCUUAUGCUGUAGGGCUCUAUACAGCAUAAAGAAGGCAGGUCAAAUUUUGGGCGUAUGGCUCAGAUAAAACUAGGAAGACCAUUUUUGGGUGUGACUCCUGAGGAUGAAGGACUUCUUCAAGCCAUUUAAAACCUCUGCAUGACCACAACCGAAGGAAAAAAAGAGACACCAGAUGCCAGGUCUUCCAACAAGAUGUCAGUAUAUUAAAGAUAAUGCAGCGAUUCUUGCACUAUCUUUAAUUUGGACUUCGGGGAUGCCAUGCCAUCAGCAACCUGGCAUGACAGAGAGGAUGUCUGCUGGUCUUGCCAGGAUGUUGGCAAGAUGCCACCGCUGUCACCUUCUCUGAUGGGGUUAUCCUUUGAUCUAUCUACUGAAGCCUUGAAUCAAGAUGCUAUCUUUGGCCUUCAAAGCCCUAAACAUCUUGGAGACCAUCCAGUGAAUCUUGGAAAUAGUGGUCUGAACAUAUCAUUCCACUUUUGUCAACAGUUGAAGACAAAGCAGUAAAGCAGUUGAAGACAAUAAACGCCUCUUACAAAAUUUUGUACUGGUAUUC
Molecule: long non-coding RNA, 581 nt
Filed under: Salvator merianae (Argentine black and white tegu)
Lineage: Eukaryota; Metazoa; Chordata; Lepidosauria; Squamata; Teiidae
Description: lncRNA (ENSSMRG00000015153.1)
Source: RNAcentral